CGUAGGCAGCGAGCGUUGUUCGGAGUUACUGGGCGUAAAGCGUGCGUAGGCGGUGGUCCAAGUCUGGUGUGAAAUCUCCCGGCUCAACUGGGAGGGUGCGCCGGAAACUGGGCCGCUGGAGUACGGGAGAGGCAAGCGGAAUUCCAGGUGUAGCGGUGAAAUGCGUAGAUAUCUGGAGGAACACCCGUGGUGCAGACGGCUUGCUGGACCGUGACUGACGCUGAGGCACGAAAGCGUGGGUAGCAAACAGGAUUAGAUACCCUGGUAGUCCACGCCCUAAACGAUGCAUACUUGGUGUGGGCAGUUCAGUCUGUCCGUGCCGAAGCUAACGCGAUAAGUAUGCCGCCUGGGGAGUACGGUCGCAAGGCUG
RNAcentral lists this ribosomal RNA (370 nucleotides) under uncultured organism. RNAcentral describes it as "bacterial SSU rRNA". It matches the Rfam family "Bacterial small subunit ribosomal RNA", at positions 526 to 896 of the family's 1533-position model. The record is from RNAcentral.